Molecule: ribosomal RNA, 497 nt
Filed under: uncultured bacterium
Lineage: Bacteria
Description: partial 16S ribosomal RNA
Rfam family: Bacterial small subunit ribosomal RNA
Source: RNAcentral
GAUGAACGCUGGCGGCGUGCCUAAUACAUGCAAGUCGAGCGAACAGAUAAGGAGCUUGCUCCUUUGACGUUAGCGGCGGACGGGUGAGUAACACGUGGGUAACCUACCUAUAAGACUGGGAUAACUUCGGGAAACCGGAGCUAAUACCGGAUAAUAUUUCGAACCGCAUGGUUCGAUAGUGAAAGAUGGUUUUGCUAUCACUUAUAGAUGGACCCGCGCCGUAUUAGCUAGUUGGUAAGGUAACGGCUUACCAAGGCAACGAUACGUAGCCGACCUGAGAGGGUGAUCGGCCACACUGGAACUGAGACACGGUCCAGACUCCUACGGGAGGCAGCAGUAGGGAAUCUUCCGCAAUGGGCGAAAGCCUGACGGAGCAACGCCGCGUGAGUGAUGAAGGUCUUCGGAUCGUAAAACUCUGUUAUUAGGGAAGAACAAAUGUGUAAGUAACUAUGCACGUCUUGACGGUACCUAAUCAGAAAGCCACGGCUAACUACGUG